AACACGUCACCGUGUACAUACUGGUGAAGACUAGUGGCGAACGGGUGAGUACACGUGAGCAACCUGCCCCGAAGACCGGGAUAACAGCGGGAAACCGCUGCUAAUACCGGAUGUCCCCAUCAGGUCACAUGACCUUAUGAGGAAAUGGAUUCCGCUUCGGGAGGGGCUCGCGGCCUAUCAGCUUGUUGGUGGGGUAACGGCCUACCAAGGCAACGACGGGUAGCUGGUCUGAGAGGACGAUCAGCCACACUGGGACUGAGACACGGCCCAGACUCCUACGGGAGGCAGCAGUGGGGAAUAUUGCGCAAUGGGCGAAAGCCUGACGCAGCAACGCCGCGUGAGGGAUGAAGGCCUUCGGGUUGUAAACCUCUUUCGAGCAGGGACGAUAAUGACGGUACCUGCAGAAGAAGCUCCGGCCAACUACGUGCCAGCAGCCGCGGUAAU
RNAcentral lists this ribosomal RNA (444 nucleotides) under uncultured bacterium. RNAcentral describes it as "bacterial SSU rRNA". It matches the Rfam family "Bacterial small subunit ribosomal RNA", at positions 65 to 524 of the family's 1533-position model. The record is from RNAcentral.